UCCUGGAGCCUAGCUUUCUGCUCAGCUCUUUGCCUCAGGAAGUUAGAAGUUGUCUUCUGUCCUGUGCCUUUGGUUCUGGGGAGAACAUUGGUCAUCUCAGCAGCUGCACUGUGGAAAAUACCUAUGCUGUUUCAAAGUCAAUAUAGGAAUAGUGGGCUUUGCUGGAUCCUUCCCAGAAGAAUCUCCAUAAAGAUGUGAUGGUGGAGACUAUAGGAACCUCACUGCUAUAGAGGGUUACAGGAUCACCAUGAAAACAGCAAGGCAAAAGGUGUCAGACAUGGCAGAUAUAGCAGGAUGCUAAGAUCUCACAUCCUCAACCUGCAGAAUGAACCAGACAGUGGGAACUGGAAAUGGUAUGCAGAUGUCAAUUAUAAAACCAUACCCCCAGUGACAUAUUACCUCCAGCAGGGCAUCAUUUCCUUAAUCAUCUCAAAUGAUACCACCAACUGGGAAGUAUUGAUUUCUCUGACUUCAGAACUACAUGCUUGCUUUUUGUUAUAUGAAGCAGAUCAUGAUACAGAAAAACUGUAGAUGUCAUUGUUUGUUAUCCAUCCUGGUUUGGAUGUCAGUACUUUGUCAUGGCUACCUUUGAACUCCUAUGUCUCAUGUUUCAUCCUCAUGAGUUCAAGACCAAGGGUAGAUGAUGUAUCCCCGAUGUGUGCUCCUUUGUUGACAUGUUUCAACAAUGUUAAUAUUAACAUGCUUAAGAAGAACACAUGCCAAGACAGUGAAGUAGGGAAAUAUGUGAAUUGUGGGUAUGUAAACAGAAGAUACAACCAGAAAGAAAGGUUACAAGACAAGAAGAAUGCCCUGAAACAUUCCUCUGCAGUGACCUCUUUGAAGAUCUCAGUAUUGAGAAAGAGAUAUGAUCCCAGAAAGAUCCUGCUGCGGGAUGAAAAGACCUUGGUGACCUGCUGCUCACUGUACUGAGUCUUAAAGGGCCGCUUCCCCAGAAUGCUGUUCCCUGCUGCACUUUUCCCAACACCACACUUCCCCAUGAG
Molecule: long non-coding RNA, 1001 nt
Organism: Mesocricetus auratus (golden hamster)
Lineage: Eukaryota; Metazoa; Chordata; Mammalia; Rodentia; Cricetidae
Exons: 7
Source: RefSeq, a predicted model, not a curated record